This is a non-coding RNA of Acanthosepion pharaonis, 94 nucleotides long. NCBI's taxonomy places the organism in Eukaryota, Metazoa, Mollusca, Cephalopoda, Sepiida, Sepiidae. The record is from the annotation of a GenBank genome assembly.
UAAACACCAGUUCUCAUAUGAUCAUCAGAGUUAAGCAACAUCAAACCUGGUCAGUACUUAGAUGGGUGACUGCUUGGGAAUACCAGAUUCUGCA